Molecule: small nuclear RNA, 160 nt
Organism: Haliotis rubra (blacklip abalone)
Lineage: Eukaryota; Metazoa; Mollusca; Gastropoda; Lepetellida; Haliotidae
Product: U1 spliceosomal RNA
Exons: 1
Source: RefSeq, a predicted model, not a curated record
GUACCACCUGGCACAGGCUAUUUUACAGAUCCGCAAGGCUGUGGGUCAAAGCGAGACCUUCAUUUCGUAAUAUCAUUUGGUUGGAUCUUCGCGAUCGUCCCAAAUGUGGACGACCUGGGUGCGCAAUUUAUAAGUGUGGGGACUGCGUUCGCGCUCCCUU